This 822-nucleotide ribosomal RNA is filed under the name Triticum aestivum (bread wheat). RNAcentral describes it as "partial small subunit ribosomal RNA". The record is from RNAcentral. Lineage: Eukaryota; Viridiplantae; Streptophyta; Magnoliopsida; Poales; Poaceae.
UUGCAGGUUCAAAAUCCUCACAGUAUCAAGUACAGUGGUACAAUUCAAGGGCUUAAGUAUAUAUGGAGAACCGAAGGCCUUCGUAGACUGUUUAAGGGCAAUGGAAUAAACUGUGCAAGGAUCGUCCCAAAUUCCGCUGUGAAAUUCUUCAGCUAUGAGCAAGCAUCAAGGUGUGUUCUUGAUUGCAAUUACUCUUGCCUUACAACAGAGAAUGCUCAGCCUAGUCCACUCUUGCGCCUUGGAGCUGGAGCCACAGCUGGCAUCGUAGCCAUGUCUGCUGCUUAUCCCAUGGAUAUGGUUAGGGGUAGGAUUACUGUUCAGGCAGAGAAGUCUCCCCGUGGUAUGUUUCAUGCAUUGGACACAGUGUACUGUGAAGAAGGCUUUCAGGCUUUAUACAGAGGGAGGCUUCCGUCAUUGAUUGGAGCUGUCCCUUAUGUUGGACUUAACUUUGAUGUAUACGAUUCUCUGAAGGACUGGCUCCUCUGGACAAAUGCGCUUGCAAAGUACAACGGGUUUCACAUAGUAACAAGGCUUGGAUGCGGAGCUGUGGCUGGAACCAUAGGGAAGACUGGCAUACCCUCUUUGAUGCUGUCAGGAAGAAUGCAGAUGGUCGGCUGGAAUCACACUGCUUCUGUUGUUACUGGAGAAGGCAAAGAGGCACUCCAGUACAAUGGUAUGACUGAUGCAUUCAGGACUGUUGGCCACGAAGGAUUUGGUGCUCUGUUCAAGGGUCUUGGGCCCAACUCAGUGAAGCUGGUGCAUUCCAUAGCUGCAUUCGUCACGUACGAGGAUGUUCUUGUAGUAGAAGUGAGGAUAGACUAG